This 1175-nucleotide ribosomal RNA is filed under the name uncultured Arthrobacter sp. RNAcentral's name for it is "bacterial SSU rRNA". It matches the Rfam family "Bacterial small subunit ribosomal RNA", at positions 51 to 1246 of the family's 1533-position model. Lineage: Bacteria; Bacillati; Actinomycetota; Actinomycetes; Micrococcales; Micrococcaceae. The record is from RNAcentral.
CUACNNUGCAGUCGAACGAUGAACCUCACUUGUGGGGGGAUUAGUGGCGAACGGGUGAGUAACACGUGAGUAACCUGCCCUUGACUCUGGGAUAAGCCUGGGAAACUGGGUCUAAUACCGGAUAUGACUCCUCAUCGCAUGGUGGGGGGUGGAAAGCUUUAUUGUGGUUUUGGAUGGACUCGCGGCCUAUCAGCUUGUUGGUGAGGUAAUGGCUCACCAAGGCGACGACGGGUAGCCGGCCUGAGAGGGUGACCGGCCACACUGGGACUGAGACACGGCCCAGACUCCUACGGGAGGCAGCAGUGGGGAAUAUUGCACAAUGGGCGAAAGCCUGAUGCAGCGACGCCGCGUGAGGGAUGACGGCCUUCGGGUUGUAAACCUCUUUCAGUAGGGAAGAAGCGAAAGUGACGGUACCUGCAGAAGAAGCGCCGGCUAACUACGUGCCAGCAGCCGCGGUAAUACGUAGGGCGCAAGCGUUAUCCGGAAUUAUUGGGCGUAAAGAGCUCGUAGGCGGUUUGUCGCGUCUGCCGUGAAAGUCCGGGGCUCAACUCCGGAUCUGCGGUGGGUACGGGCAGACUAGAGUGAUGUAGGGGAGACUGGAAUUCCUGGUGUAGCGGUGAAAUGCGCAGAUAUCAGGAGGAACACCGAUGGCGAAGGCAGGUCUCUGGGCAUUAACUGACGCUGAGGAGCGAAAGCAUGGGGAGCGAACAGGAUUAGAUACCCUGGUAGUCCAUGCCGUAAACGUUGGGCACUAGGUGUGGGGGACAUUCCACGUUUUCCGCGCCGUAGCUAACGCAUUAAGUGCCCCGCCUGGGGAGUACGGCCGCAAGGCUAAAACUCAAAGGAAUUGACGGGGGCCCGCACAAGCGGCGGAGCAUGCGGAUUAAUUCGAUGCAACGCGAAGAACCUUACCAAGGCUUGACAUGAACCGGAAACGUCUGGAAACAGGCGCCCCACUUGUGGUCGGUUUACAGGUGGUGCAUGGUUGUCGUCAGCUCGUGUCGUGAGAUGUUGGGUUAAGUCCCGCAACGAGCGCAACCCUCGUUCCAUGUUGCCAGCGCGUAUGGCGGGGACUCAUGGGAGACUGCCGGGUCACUCGGAGGAAGGUGGGGACGACGUCAAUCAUCAUGCCCCUUNUGUCUGGGCUUNCGCNGCUACAUGGCCGGUANAAGGGU